RNAcentral lists this ribosomal RNA (946 nucleotides) under Diplodia seriata. RNAcentral's name for it is "eukaryotic LSU rRNA". The record is from RNAcentral. Lineage: Eukaryota; Fungi; Ascomycota; Dothideomycetes; Botryosphaeriales; Botryosphaeriaceae.
GGUUGGGCUUCGCCUCUCCCACCCUUUGUGAACGUACCUCUGUUGCUUUGGCGGCUCUUUGAGCGAAGGGCCCUCGCGGCCCCCCGCGCGCUUUCCGCCAGAGGACCUUCACUCCAUCAGUAAACGUCGACGUCUGAUAAACAAGUUAAUAAACUAAAACUUUCAACAACGGAUCUCUUGGUUCUGGCAUCAUGAAAACGCCAAAUGCAUAAGUAAUGUGAAUUGCGAAUUCAUGAAUCAUCGAAUCUUUGAACGCACAUUGCGCCCCCUGGCAUUCCGGGGGGCAUGCCUGUUCAGCGUCAUUACACCCUCAAGCUCUGCUUGGUAUUGGGCGCCSUCCUCUCUGCGGACGCGCCUUAAAGACCUCGGCGGUGGCUGUUCAGCCCUCAAGCGUAUAAAUACACCUCGCUUUGGACGGUUGGCGUCCCCGCCGGACGAACCUUCUGAACUUUUCUCAAGGUUGACCUCGGAUCACGUAGGGAUACCCGCUGAACUUAAGCAUAUCAAUAAGCGGAGGAAAUUACCGAGUUCUCGGGCUUCGGCUCGAAUCUCCCCCUUUGUGAACGUACCUCUGUUGCUUUGGCGGCUCUUUGCGCGAGGAGGCCUCGGGGCCCGCUUUCGAAGGACUUACUCUGAUAAUCCUCGAUAAACAGUUAUAAACUAAAACUUUCACAACGGAUCUCUUGGGUUUCUGGCAUCAUGAAAGAGCAAAUGAUAAGUAAUGUGAAAUUGCAGAAAUUCUGAAUCAUAAUCUUUGAACGCCAUUGCUCUGCAUUCGGGGGGCAUGCUGUUCAGUUUACACCCUGUGUGGGGGGCUUGGCUUAAGACGGCGGGGGGCUUUACUCUACGUAGAUAAAUAACCUUGGAGCGUGGGUGCCCCGGCACACACUCUAAUUUUCGGUGACGACGGGGGGAUACCGUUACCUUAACUACCUUACGGGGAAGA